This is a non-coding RNA of Oncorhynchus mykiss (rainbow trout), 1935 nucleotides long. Lineage: Eukaryota; Metazoa; Chordata; Actinopteri; Salmoniformes; Salmonidae. The record is from RefSeq and is a predicted model, not a curated record.
GACUUACGCCUAAAAAUGUGUGAUCGUGAAGGGCUACGUAAAGGACAGGGCGCCGUUUGCUUCUGAGAAUCUACGUCUAACAGUCGCUUCCCAAUCACUUAUGUCCAGUAGCCUUCAGAAAUAUCCAUUAGGAGGGCUUUACAGACUAUGCUAUCUGUCCUGGCAGUUAAAUAUUCGGGCCUUUGGGUUUGCGCUAAAGCCGUGCUAAACGUGUUAAAAAUAGACGUUCUGUCCCUAACUUGUUAAAGUACGGAAUGAGUUUCGAGAGAUAGCCUGUAUGCAACCAACUAACUGUAUGUUUGCUUUAGACCAAAAGGCUGUGAAUUCAAAGAGCCGUUCUGUCAUGCGUUUUGUUUGGGGGGUCCUGGGGGGCGUUGAUUAGAUAUCCAGGUUUAACCCCGGGCGGUCGGCCGAUACCUUGACAUGUCAUAUGCUGGAUAGUUCAAACUUUGAAUUUCAAACGAUUCUCUACAGAUGGGACCCCAUGUUGAACCCACACAAACAAACCCUUUGUUUUUUGAAACGCACACACACACACUCCUGCUGCUCCGUCACACGCACACUCAUGCACGCACCCUGAUUUUCAAUGUCUUUUUCUUCGCGACAGAGUUGGCUGAAGAUGUGAAAUACCGUUUCACAUAGUUACGGACCGGGUUGAUGGCUGGAAAGGACAUUUUCCCUUCGUUAAAGGAUAGAUGGUCCGGUUAGCCACGACCAUUAUCCAUUUCAAAUUCAUCAACUCAAAGACGCUUGUCCGCUCCAUCAAAACUCCGUAAGUUUUCCCUCCAUGUGUAGAUCAACCGUUCCUGCCUGUAAAUCCUGGGUAUGCCCACAUCAUUAAUGAAUAAGAUGUGUAGAAAACUGUUUAGCCAUAGUUAAAGGCCUUUCAUAAAGAGUCUGUCAUGAUUGCCUGUGCCACACUUAUUGCUUGUUACCUAAUAAUACUGUUGUACAUUUAAUAUCCACUAGCAGAUUUCGUCGCAUUUGCACAAAUUCGGUCAUGUUACUGUGGUCUUUUUAAAUGUCAGUAAAUAUGUGUGUAAAGUGUAUAUGUUUGUUUCACUGUAGAUUUGUUUAAGCCCUCCUAGAAACACCUAAUUAAAGGCCUUUUCAUAAAGAGGCUGUCAUGAUUGCCUGUGCCACAUGUUUAACACGUAUUGCUUAUUACAGAAUACUACUGUUGUACAUUUAAUAUCCCCUAGCAGAUUUCGUUGCAUUUGCACAAAUUCUGUCAUGUUACUGUGGUAUUUUUAAAAGUCAAUAAAUAUGUGUGUAAAGUGUACAUGUUUGUUUCACUGUAGAUUUGUUUAAGCCCUCCUAGAAACACCUCAUUUCAUCCCACAGCCUUAAUUAAUAAGCUGUGCAGAAGCUGUUUAGCCAUAAGUAAAGGCCUUUCAUAAAGUGGCUGUCAUGAUAAACCUGAAAUUACCUUUAGGAUCUUUUCUUUGGGGUUCUAAUCUCCCCAGGUGUACAUGCACUGAAAAUCCUUAGGCUGGAGCCAUCUUGAAGCUCUGUGCCUGUACAUAUAAAGAGAACUAAAUAGGAAACUAGGCUGAGAAACAUUAUUUAGAUGGCUGUUUAAUUGUUGUUUAAAGCCUGAAAUGGACACAAUGCCAAGGGACCUUGUUUCUAACACACACACACACAUACAGACACACAUUCCUGCUCCAUAGAUAACAAACAUAAGGGCAAUAAAACUGGGGGGGUCAUACCCGGUCCAAAAGUUCAAACACAACAACCACAGUUCAACCAGGCCCCUAGACAUCCAUCAACUGGACUACUUCAAAGGAUGACAUAGAGAUCUGAAAUAACACAAAAUAACACGUGACCACGGGAACAGGGGGGACGGGGAGGGGGCACAUAUUCGGACACGCAAAGGUCAAAAUGACGUAAGGUCAUCAAUCAAUCAUUUUGACGCGUGCCGUCUACUUUAUU